CAGACGCCGAAACCGGCUGGCGAUCAUUAACUAGUGCUUACUCCCGGGAGAGAAUGCAGGUUUUAAAGAGACGAACUCUUAUUUUUAUAAAACAGCCAGGACUGCAAUAGAAGAUGAGGGACCGGAGGCAGCGAGGGUCAUUCUGUUUCCCGUGGUUGUGUGGCUGGUAGGAGUUGGAGCUAGAAGUCAAGCCCAGGUCUGUCUGAUUUCUGUCCUUCCUCCUGUCCCAAGCUCACAGCCUGUCAGUGCUCUCCGUCCUGUCCCCUCCUGGCUCAUCAAGAAGCUUGCUCCAUUUGUUACCCUUCCUCUCUUUGUCUCUUCCACUUUCCCUCUCUCCUUGCUUCUUUCCAUCAAGGUGAUCAAACCAAAACAAGGGUCUCAACUACUGUAUGAAGUUGAAGUUUUUCAAAUGUUUGUCUGCGGCCAGACUUUGAUUCUGCAGAUUCAUAUGUUCACUUGUGUAUUGGAUAUCUCAUGGCCUCUCAAACAUCAAAACAAAACUUACCACUUCCCUCCACACUGGCUCUUCCUCUGGCGUUCUCUGGCCAGCCAGUGGCUCUGCCAGCCGCACAGUAGCCCAAGCCAGAAACUGGCAGCGGAAAGACUCAGAUUUUGGUUUCAAAUCCAAACUUACUAGACAGAAGACAUUUGAACCUCAAUUUCCCAACCUGAAAAGUGGGGGUAAUAAUUCUAUUUCACAGGGUUGCUUUCAGAGCUAAAUGACCAUAUUAGCUGCUUAAUAAUAAUUAUUAUUGUUGUCAUCACUGUCAUUGUUAUCGUCAUCACCUAUUACCCCCUCCUUCUUUCUAGUAACCUUUACCUACUUGCAGUUCCACCAAAACAUCCUGCACCAUCAUUUUAAUUUCUUUGAUUCUGCUAUUAACUUCUG
This 889-nucleotide long non-coding RNA is filed under the name Equus asinus (donkey). RNAcentral's name for it is "lncRNA (ENSEASG00005025419.1)". Lineage: Eukaryota; Metazoa; Chordata; Mammalia; Perissodactyla; Equidae. The record is from RNAcentral.